UUGGGAUUUCUUUUUAUGGGACACACAAUUUUAGAGAGAGAGAAAAAUACAAAAUCAUCAUUAUCAAAGGGCAAAAAGCUAAGGUUUAAGACUUUUGGGAUUAAAGAAAUUUCUUAGUUCAAGAUCAAACUAUUUUCAUCAUCAAGAAUUCAUAACCCAGUUAUGAACUCUAUACUCUUUUUUAUUGUUUUUAUUUUGUUUAGUGUGAGUAGCUACAUUCAUAGUUAGGGUAAAUAAUAUAAUAUAUGCGUGAUAAUUUAGUUUAAUUUUCAAGAUUCUAGGAGUUUAAUUUUUAUAUGUGUUGAUUUUAUUUAUGGAUUUUGAUGCUUUGAAUUAUUUGUUCAAUAAUCCAAUGAUUUUAUGAAUAUAUAAUGAGUCGAGAGGUGAUUUAUAUAUUUAGACCACAUAGUAAAAUUCGGGAACUAAUAUAAAAGUGUAAAUAUACAUUCUCUAGUUAAUGCGAUCGUUACAAGAAUUCUUAGAAAUUUAAUACGUUUAACUAAGAUUUAUUCAAAUUUACAUAGAGAUUUGAAUUGACUUAGUUAAUUAAUAGAAUUAAUUUGAACUCAACAGAGAUCAAAUAUGUUAGAAGAAUUCAAUCGAUAACUAUAUGAAGUUGAGAAUCUUGAUUAGAGAAUUAAAGGGGAUCCGUAGGCAAAAUUAUAAGUCCUAAUAUUUACACUCAUACUUUAAAAAUUCAAACUUGAUAUCGUGUGCAUUUAGAUAAAAUUCGUAUAAUUAGAAUAUUUGAGAUCAAUCACAAAUCAUGGUUAGAAAUAGUAAAUGAAGUAUUAAAUUAUAGUUAUCGUGGGAAUGAUAACUUGGAUUCAUCCGUACAUUUAUAGAAUAUAAAAUCGACAAUCCAUACAUUGAAAUGAUUCAUUCAGUCUCUACCAUAGAAGUUUAGCCUUAAAUUGUACCAUGAAGAAAAAUAAAGACCCUGAAAUCUGCCACUGCACCACAAUGCAUAUAUUCACCAAAUAAAGUCCUCCCUGGUGGUUUUAUUAAAAGAAAUAAAUAAUAGAUGCGUCAAUUUCAUAGUAGAAACGUUGUUCCAAUCAAUACUGCGGGACAAUACUUUCAGCAUAAGAAAUUUAAAUAGCAUAACUAACUGUCCUAAUUCAAAAGCAUUAUAAGCAUGCUCAAAACUCAUUUAUGGUAAUCUAAUUUUCUCUAGUGAACAAUUUACUAGUACAAAGAAAAUAAAAAUUAUAAAUUCUUAAACAUAAGUUUAUGAUUCUGUUUUCUAGUUUAAUCACAUAAAUAUUUAAUAGCAGAAUAAUUAUAAUUUGAAGCAAUGCGCCUCCAAAAUAAAAAUAGGGAGUAUCUUAAGUAAUAAAAACAAACAGAAAAAUAUAUAGUUUAACGAUAUAGCCCUUUUUAGGUUGUAGCUAACUGUCGCAUGUUUAGUAAAUUUUGAUAAAAAUUGAUGAAGUGUGUGAUUGAAAAGUUGUGAUUCUCAUUAAAUAUAUUGUUAAAGUAAAUUACAGAUUUUAUAAAUUUUAAUCCAUUAUUUGAACUACACCAAAAAAAAGGAUAUAAUGACAUUUUUAAAUAUAGUAAUGCAUGGUUAGGGAGAUAAAAUGCCACCAAAACGUACAGCAAACACAGCGGGAAUAGUAGAUAAAUUCGCGCUAUGAAGACUGAAGAGAAAAUGUCAAUUAACUUUGAUACGACCAAAUGCCAAUUUCUAGAAGAAAUAGACUUUCUGAACUUAGGAAACCUCAUGAUACAAUAUUUUUUGCUCACAAUUUAGAAUAUUCAAGUGCAUUGCAAAUAGCUCAUAUAUCUGUGUGUAUAUUAUAUUUACACACAAUUCUUUUAUUAAUUUCCUAAUUUCAAUUUGAUUCUUUUUCUUGAUUGAAUCAUGUCAUAUUCGUUCUAUUUGCAACUCGUACUAUACCCAUAUUAUUUCUAAACAUUUUCAUUCAUUUUCACAAAUUACUCCACCUUGACUCAUAUUUUCUGAAUCACAACACUUAUUUGCACCAUACUCGCACCUAUUGAUCAAUUGUCGUACAGUUUAUAAUCAAAGCCAUGAAAUCAAUUCAAAAAUUAGUUGAAUGUGACUACCUUUUGACCUCUUUCAACUUUGAUCUUCAUAUUCUUCUUGUACUAGCCAUGAAAUUCUUCAUGGUCACUUCUUAUUCUCUCGCAAUAGAGGAAGUCUUUCCUUGGUUGGACCCUUUUUGUAGAGGAUUUUUAAAUGUAUAAUUAAAAGUACAUAUGAACAACAAUAUUACUAUUUAAAACACAUGGAAAAUUGUUUAAUUGAAAACUUGACGUCUGUUAUAAACUCAAUUUUAGAUUAAUAUAUGCUAUUCCAACUUUUAAUAUUAUUUUUUUUUAAUCUAAAAUUGAAAAAUGCAGUUUAUAAGCAUUUAAUUUCACAUCCCUAGUUAUUGUGAAGGAUAUAGAUCGUUUAAGAAAGAGAAUCUUUGGUUUCUUAUAGUCAUUUAAUCGGACUAAUUCUUCAUCAAACUUUUCUUUAGUCAUUCCUUGCUUACUUUUAGAAUUGGAGACUAAGACUGAAACUUCUCUGGCAUACCCAAAAUAGUCUAAGUUUGGAAACCCAAGACCCAUUAGCACAAGGCUGCCUUCUUUUGUGGGAUGGAUACCUAAAUCGGUAUUAGGCUCAUCCUUGACAAGCAUUAUGCAGUCAUACAUAGGAGGAUUGAUAUCGUUUUACUGGAGACGACACUAAUUUUGAAUAGAUUACAUCGUGAAUUCUUUCAGACCCUUAGUUUCACUUGGUUGGGAUCUUACAUUUGAUCCAAUCAAGUCUGAUCUUUGAUUGGAUUACAUUUAUUAAAGCUCAUUCAGUAGAACUGGAAGACAUUGAUUCAAAUUCAAAGCCAAAUGACUUGGAUAAUGAACCGAGGGAAGCCAUACCCUUAUGAUCAAUACUAACUAGCUACUAUAAGUCAUAUGGCUGGUGUUUCUAAUAUCUUCCACACAUAAAAAAAAUGUCUUUAGCAGAAGUCGAUGAAAUCAAAUUUGAUUAAAAAUUUUACCUCAUUCAAAAAAUUCAUGGAUUAAUGUUUAUUAUAAGGGGGCACAAUUACUAAAUAAGACCAUUGAAAGAUUAAUUCCUAAAGCUGGAUUUAGGGGCAUCAUUCCGAGGAGGAUUGGAGCUUGUUCCACCAUCAGUCAUGCAGCGGCUCUACAGAUGUAAUGAUAGGGCAUAUGUUGAAUGUGUUCUUGGAUCUUCACGAGAUGAAAAGAAUGUAUUAUCAAUGAGAGGCAAAAUGUGUUGGGAAGAAUUUAUAAAUCAAAUAAUAUGUGGUAGUUGAAUCUUGGAAUCAAUGAAUGUUUUUGAUCAUCAAACAAUUGAUCUCUAUGGAAUAAAUCUGAUUCAACACACUUUUGGAUGUCCCACAGGGUGUAUAUUUAUAAUGGUUAGUGUUUGGGAUGAAAAGAGAUUGAAAAACCAAGUGUUUGACGCAAAAUAAGAUUUUGAAUGUUGACGUGCUGCUAGAGCGCCAAGCUAGCGACAAGCGAGCGAUAGCUGAGCAAUUACUAGUAUUUUCAUAAUAACUUUCUCUCUCGAUAUCGGAUCGAGGUGAUUCAAAAUGGGUUGGAAAGCUAUCUCAAACAGAUACAAUUUAUCUAUAAUAGCAUCGUCCAAAUUCCAAAGUUAUUUAUGUGAAAAAUGCAUUUCAAUUUAUAUCUGAGAAUUUGGAACAUAAUGCGGCUCUUUGACACUACAUUCCCUUUAUCAUAUUUGAUCUUCUCGGGCAUCUUUGACAUCUUGAACACCUUCAAGACCUAUAUUGCCAAUCCUUAACUAUUUUAACUUUGAUUAUAACUCGAUAAAUACCUAAUAUAAUUCAAUUAGGACUUGAUUUUGUCUACAGAAUUGCAAAUGCAACAUAAAUCCUAACAGCAUAUUAUCCCAGGUGGGAGUGGAUCUAGUACCAUCAUUAGUACUUCUAGGUGCUGGGUAUUGGGAAAUAAGUCCUACAAUUGAACCCAUAGGACACGAUACCCAAGGUUGGACUGGAACCAGUUUCAGCAUCAAGUGGAGUGCUAAAACUUUGAAUAAAACUGGUGUUGUGAUCCAACAAGUUGAUAGACCUAUGCCUAUCCUAAGAGUGUGAUGAUAUGGAAAAUGGUGAUCAAAAUAUACCUAUUUUGUUAGAAAGACCAUUCUUAAAGAUAUCCAAAACUAAAAUAGAUGAUCAUAGUGACAUGCUGACCAUGGAAUUUGAUGGUGAAAUUGCUAAAUUCAAUAUCUAUGAUUCCAUAAAAUGUCCUGAUGAUUAUAAUCUCGUUUAUUCUAUUGAUAUGAUUGAUUGUUUAGCACAUGAUGUUUUCAAAUUGGAGGGAAAGGAUGGAUCGGAAGUUGCCACUAAUAAGCAUCUUGAGAAAAAUAAUAAGCGGUUAACAUUGAGCACUGACUUGCAGGAAACCGUUGCAGCAUUGAAUGCUUCUCCAACGUUACAGCAGUCAGGUAACAUUUCUCAUAUUGCAUUUCCAAUUGCUAACGAGAGGCCUUUCUCUGUAGGUUUUUAAAUGGAGAACAUGACAAAAUCGAGCCUUAGGAAUCCAAUUGAUGCCAGUUGAAGAAGGAAAUAAGUCUAGCCAAAGGCAAUAAACAAAGACCCUGCUUGGAAGGCAUCUCGAGGGGAGUUCGUUCCUUUAUCUUUUUAUUUUUGCAUUCAUAUUUUGUUUAUUUUUGUCAUUUUCUUUGCAUUUCACCUU
This 4704-nucleotide long non-coding RNA is filed under the name Olea europaea (common olive). RNAcentral describes it as "long non-coding RNA (OEUR_LNC014004)". Lineage: Eukaryota; Viridiplantae; Streptophyta; Magnoliopsida; Lamiales; Oleaceae. The record is from RNAcentral.